Molecule: ribosomal RNA, 443 nt
Filed under: uncultured bacterium
Lineage: Bacteria
Description: bacterial SSU rRNA
Rfam family: Bacterial small subunit ribosomal RNA
Source: RNAcentral
GAUGAACGUUGGCGGCGUGCCUAAUACAUGCAAGUCGUGCGAGAAGCUAUCUUCGGAUAGCGGACAGCGGCGGACGGGUGAGUAACACGUAGAAAUAUACCCCAAGGUGAGGGAUAAGCAUCGGAAACGGUGUCUAAUACCGCAUAUUAUCUAAGGAUAAAAGAUUUAUCGCCAUGGGAAUAGUCUGCGUCUGAUUAGCUAGUUGGUAGGGUAAAGGCCUACCAAGGCGAUGAUCGGUAGCUGGUUUGAGAGGAUGAUCAGCCACACUGGGACUGAGACACGGCCCAGACUCCUACGGGAGGCAGCAGUAGGGAAUUUUCCACAAUGGACGAAAGUCUGAUGGAGCAAUGCCGCGUGCAGGAUGAAGGUCUUCGGAUUGUAAACUGCUUUUAUAGUUGAAGAUUAUGACGGUAAGCUAUGAAUAAGGACCGGCUAACUACGUG